GGCGUGGUACCCAAGCAGCAAGGGAGCGGUCUGCAAAACCGUUAUGCGUGGGUGCAACUCCCACCCACGCCUCCA
This 75-nucleotide transfer RNA is filed under the name Candidatus Omnitrophota bacterium. Its description in RNAcentral is "tRNA-Cys". It matches the Rfam family "tRNA". From Rfam's summary of the family: Transfer RNA (tRNA) molecules are approximately 80 nucleotides in length. Their secondary structure includes four short double-helical elements and three loops (D, anti-codon, and T loops). Further hydrogen bonds mediate the characteristic L-shaped molecular structure. tRNAs have two regions of fundamental functional importance: the anti-codon, which is responsible for specific mRNA codon recognition, and the 3' end, to which the tRNAs corresponding amino acid is attached (by aminoacyl-tRNA synthetases). tRNAs cope with the degeneracy of the genetic code in two manners: having more than one tRNA (with a specific anti-codon) for a particular amino acid; and 'wobble' base-pairing, i.e. permitting non-standard base-pairing at the 3rd anti-codon position. Lineage: Bacteria; Pseudomonadati; Candidatus Omnitrophota. The record is from RNAcentral.